Cyprinus carpio carpio is the source of this 694-nucleotide long non-coding RNA. NCBI's taxonomy places the organism in Eukaryota, Metazoa, Chordata, Actinopteri, Cypriniformes, Cyprinidae. The record is from Ensembl.
GCAAGUAAACGUGACAAUGGACACUCAAGAACAGAAAAGUCUUGAUCUGAUGCUUUAACAAUAAAUAUUGAUGAUCAGAAUCGGCUGAUCGUAUUGUUAAAAUAUCGGUGACUAGUGUCUGCCUCAGUUUCUUGAUCGGUGCAGCACUAUAAACUGAUCCUGAACUUCAACAUUUAUCCCCUCUAUAUGAACUGGAGGAAAACCAUCAUUUGUUUGUGUUUUUAAUUCCCAGUUUCUCACGAUUCAGACAGACCUGCAGAGAUUCAGUCGAUUGUUUCAAAGAGAGACAUUCAUAGAUGAGAUCAUAAACAGGAAGCUCUUGACAAAUCUGGAGAAGUGGAGCAUGAUGUGCAUCAGACUGACUGAGAGCUGGGACUUUUAUUCUGAAGGGACAUCAACACACACACACACACACACACACAACCAACUGCUGGUCAAAAAUAUGACAUCUUUAGUUUUAUGUUUGUAGUUCUGGUUGUGUUUUAUCUUCUCGUUCAUUGUCUCAAGUUGUUUCUUAGUUUGUCUGUUUAAGGUUGUGACUUUGUUUCAAUGUUUGCUGUGCAUUGAUACAUUAACAUCAUCAUUCAAAGAAAAGACCCCAAAAUAAUUUACAGAUUAAGAGUUACAUAUUCAUUUGUAAAUAUAGUAUAUGCUUUAAUUUGAUCAUUUCUAACUGUAUAUGUUACUGUCUGAU